GCCCAUUCGUCUAGCGGCCAAGGACACCAGCAACUCAAGUUGGAGACAGGGGUUCGAUUCCUCUAUGGGCUA
Molecule: transfer RNA, 72 nt
Filed under: Anaerolineales bacterium
Lineage: Bacteria; Bacillati; Chloroflexota; Anaerolineae; Anaerolineales
Description: tRNA-Glu
Rfam family: tRNA
About the family: Transfer RNA (tRNA) molecules are approximately 80 nucleotides in length.
Source: RNAcentral